UACGGGAGGCAGCAGUGAGGAAUAUUGGACAAUGGAGGCAACUCUGAUCCAGCCAUGCCGCGUGUAGGAAGAAUGCCCUAUGGGUUGUAAACUACUUUUAUACAGGAAGAAACACUGGUAUGUAUACCAGCUUGACGGUACUGUAAGAAUAAGGACCGGCUAACUCCGUGCCAGCAGCCGCGGUAAU
RNAcentral lists this ribosomal RNA (187 nucleotides) under uncultured bacterium. Its description in RNAcentral is "partial 16S ribosomal RNA". It matches the Rfam family "Bacterial small subunit ribosomal RNA", at positions 340 to 524 of the family's 1533-position model. The record is from RNAcentral.